RNAcentral lists this ribosomal RNA (443 nucleotides) under uncultured bacterium. RNAcentral's name for it is "partial 16S ribosomal RNA". It matches the Rfam family "Bacterial small subunit ribosomal RNA", at positions 338 to 795 of the family's 1533-position model. The record is from RNAcentral.
CCUACGGGUGGCAUCAGUGGGGAAUAUUGGGCAAUGGGCGCAAGCCUGACCCAGCAACGCCGCGUGAAGGAAGAAGGCUUUCGGGUUGUAAACUUCUUUUGUCAGGGACGAAGCAAGUGACGGUACCUGACGAAUAAGCCACGGCUAACUACGUGCCAGCAGCAGCGGUAAUACGUAGGUGGCAAGCGUUAUGCGGAUUUACUGGGUGUAAAGGGCGUGUAGGCGGGACUGCAAGUCAGAUGGGAAGACAACGGGCUCAACCUGUGGCCUGCAUUUGAAACUGUAGUUCUUGAGUACUGGAGAGGCAUACGGAAUUCCUGGUGUAGCGGUGAAAUGCGUAGAUAUUGGGAGGAACACCAGUGGCGAAGGCGGUCUGCUGGACAGCAACUGACGCUGAGGCGCGAAAGCGUGGGGAGCAAACAGGAUUAGAUACCCUAGUAGUC